This is a long non-coding RNA of Chelonia mydas (Green sea turtle), 2696 nucleotides long. RefSeq lists it as uncharacterized. NCBI's taxonomy places the organism in Eukaryota, Metazoa, Chordata, Testudines, Cheloniidae. The transcript has 3 exons. The record is from RefSeq and is a predicted model, not a curated record.
CCUUAGAGACUAAACUCUGGGUCUCCAGCUACUUUUCUAUGGGAGUUGGGGUUUUUUUAGACACUGGAGAAGGGCAAUGAAGUGAACUCUAGCCCACCACCUCCGUUUCUUCUGAAAUGCCAUUGUCACUUUAAGUGUCAGCAAAACUUUGGCAGCAUGCCACAACAAUAACUCAACAUGAACAUUCAAAUUUAAGGUCAGGCCCACACAACUGCUACUGCAGCAUCAGCAGACCCAGGGAGAGAGCUAGACUGGGUUCCCCAUGACAAUCUCAUCCGCAGAUUCGGCACGUGGUACGAGUAUCCCAUCCUCUUCUCUGAGAACACCACAUGGAGAAGGAAUUCCCCUCACUUUCUGGGGUUGGAAAGAAGAGAGUGAUUUGGGCCAUGCUUUUCCCAAAUACACGCCGAGACCCAACACGUGGUGCCAGCAGCUCACUUCUCCCUGGGAUAACAGCUUUUUCCUUCUGCCAGCUAAGGGUGUACCAACCCCGCACUUGGUCAAUGGGGCCUGACCAAUCACUGUGGGCCUAGGAGACAAUGCCCCCUCACCCCUGCUGCACAUGCUCCAGGUGGAAGCGACAGAUAAAAGGAGGCAGCCCAGUUCAGUGGGGGCUGACUGAGGAGGAGGAAGGACAUGUGCUGCAGGUUCCUGCAGAGGAAUCUUCAACUCUCCAGGCUGUUGAGACCAUGGACUCAGACUAUGCUGUGGAUGACUGGCUGACCAUGGAGACUGACUGGGAUGCUGAGCCCCUGCCAGCAGAGAAGAUGCCCUAAAUGGGCCUUAUGUUACCAAUCCAUGAGAGCACCUUCCUUCUUAUCCCGUGGCAGCUUACUUUGCAUAAGAGCUGCCAUAGCAACUCAGCCAGCCGUCUUUGCCAGCAGCAGCUACCAAAUAUCUGCAGUGACCAACAGGCUUCCAUAUCUGUCACCAGAGGGCAGCUUUCGCCUCAGCAGCAUUGGUCUCUCUCCGGCGGCAAAGAAUAUUAAGCACCAGCAGACAGCGUUUCCUUUUUUGACAGAUCAGAAGGACCUUAUUGAUGAUUCAGAGGAAUCUAAGAAUAGUAGAAGUAAGUCUAGUCUUCUAUUCACUCUCAAGGAACGUAUGGGUUUCUCCUGUAAAUAAAGUUGUGUGCCAGUGGUCUUAGUGAGCUCUUCCUCUACCCAUCGGAUAGUCCCUUGGCCAGUGCUUAUUGGAUGUUCAGUGCUACAUGUUGAAUGUUAAAAGUCAAAUAGAGUUAAGUGAAUGGUUACACUGUUAUAUUUUAUAUAGUCUACGUUUUUACUUGCUGCGUUGCUUUAUUUUAAACUGUAAUUCUAGUACGUUUUAUCAUGCUUUACUCAUUUCUUCUUGUUUUUCUGUAAAUACCUAAUUCCUUCAAAAAACAAUUAUUUCUGUUUUUGAAGAAUUACUAUGUGUGUGUCCAUUCCUGAGCGGAAGGCUGUAUUCAUGUCCUUUCAGGGGUUAACAAGACUAGCUUGCUCUGGGGAGCCCUCUACGGGUCAGAGACAAGCCCCCUGGUAAUAUUCUGGUAACUCCUUUAGGGCAGGCCACAAUCUUGUUUACCCUUUUUAUUAAAUUUAAAAAAUUGUAGGUAAUUUAAUUAGCUUCCAAUUUCUAGGGUAACAGUGGGGGGAGAAGAGCUUACGAACACUUUUACAACGAUGAUGCUCAAUUAGAGAACUGCUGGGCCUAGAACCUGGUUACUGUGUCUGUGUUCAAUUGGAUGGAGAAAAAGGAUGGAUAACUCCAGCAGUCCUAAAGAAAAAGAAUUCACCAACCAGAUCAUUUGUGAUCAAGACCAACAGUAGAGAGUUCAACAGAAACUGUCAAUAUCUAGUUUGUGCCUCAGAAAGAACAAUCAACAGAACAAACUCUACAUAUGGCAGAUGAUGACUCAAGGAUUCCAAACUGAUCACAGGCUGUUGUUGCAACUAAUGGAUAGCCAGAUGAUCAAGUUGUUACAUGUUUGGGCUGUGUAGUGAGAAAACCAAUCCGAUUCAGAUACAUUUGACAGACUAGUCUGUAUCAAACUUCAGAGAUAGCGUGACAGUGUAAAUUUUGUAAAUGGUAGGAAUAUAGAACUUUUGGGGGGAGAAGAAAUGGAAUGCUAAUUUGUAUUACACUGUACAGCCACAAGGUGGCAAUAUGUGUAACAUACCUUAUUUAAGCUAACCUCAGCCAUGCUUGGCAGAGCAUUAAAGGAUCUUAUAGUGAACACAUCUGGUGUAUAUCUCUGAGGGAAUGAAGCUCUGUAGCCAGUCCAUAUCUGAUAUAGAAGCCUGAUCUGUUCAUAGCAGCCCUGCAACCUACUGGUAUACAUGACAGGCAACCAGGCCCCUGUUUCCUGCCUAAGCAUGCAUUCUACUGUUUCAUGAUAGGCAUCCAGACACCUAUCUCCCACCUAAGCUCAGAGCAAUUGUCAACCCAGGAAAGAUACGCAUUUGGCUGCUCAAGUUGCAUGUGAGGGCAUGGUCAGGUACGCGGUCUCUGAGCACACCUCAGCACACCCCUGGACCGGGUCCCUCAGGCAAGUUCACAUAAAAUAGCUGCGGGGAGGCCAGCAACCUCCCUUAUCUUUAGCCUACUGGCUAGAGUAUUCACACAGGGUAUGGGAAACCCCCAGUUCAAGUACUCCCUCCUUGUGUGGGAGAAGGGAUUUGAAAUGUGAUCAGCCAUAGAUGCCAACUUCUCCU